UUAUGUGAACCGUACCUAUCGUUGCUUCGGCGGGAACGCCCCGGCGCCCUGCGCCCGGAUCCAGGCGCCCGCCGGAGACCCCAAACUCUUGUGUUUUUUUCAGUAUUCUCUGAGUGGCAAACGCAAAAAUAAAUCAAAACUUUUAACAACGGAUCUCUUGGCUCUGGCAUCGAUGAAGAACGCAGCGAAAUGCGAUAAGUAAUGUGAAUUGCAGAAUUCAGUGAAUCAUCGAAUCUUUGAACGCACAUUGCGCCCGUUAGCAUUCUAGCGGGCAUGCCUGUCCGAGCGUCAUUUCAACCCUCAGGGUCCCCGUUCCGGCGGGGAACCUGGUGUUGGGGAUCGGCCCGCCCCGUGCGGCGCCGUCCCCCAAAUUCAGUGGCGGUCUCGCUGCAGCCUCCCCUGCGUAGUAGUUACAACCUCGCAUCGGAGCUCAGCGCGGCCACGCCGUAAAACCCCCGACUUUCUGAACGUUGACCUCGGAUCAGGUAGGAAUACCCGCUGAACUUAAGCAUAUCAAUAAGCGGAGGAAAAGAAACCAACAGGGAUUGCCUUAGUAACGGCGAGUGAAGCGGCAACAGCUCAAAUUUGAAAUCUGGCCCCAGGCCCGAGUUGUAAUUUGCAGAGGAUGCUUUUGGCGCGGUGCCUUCCGAGUUCCCUGGAACGGGACGCCAUAGAGGGUGAGAGCCCCGUCUGGUUGGAUACCAAGCCUUUGUAAAGCUCCUUCGACGAGUCGAGUAGUUUGG
This 743-nucleotide unclassified non-coding RNA is filed under the name Stachybotrys chlorohalonatus. RNAcentral describes it as "Stachybotrys chlorohalonata sequence contains ITS1, 5.8S rRNA gene, ITS2, 28S rRNA gene". The stretch from base 472 to 743 matches the Rfam family "Eukaryotic large subunit ribosomal RNA", at positions 1 to 277 of the family's 3401-position model. Lineage: Eukaryota; Fungi; Ascomycota; Sordariomycetes; Hypocreales; Stachybotryaceae. The record is from RNAcentral.